RNAcentral lists this ribosomal RNA (101 nucleotides) under Nicotiana sylvestris (wood tobacco). The record is from RNAcentral. Lineage: Eukaryota; Viridiplantae; Streptophyta; Magnoliopsida; Solanales; Solanaceae.
UGAUGCGAUCAUACCAGCACUNGAACUCCGAAGUCUAGCGUGCUUGGGCGAGAGUAGUACUAGGAUGGGUGACCCCCUGGGAAGUCCUCGUGUUGCAUCCU